Molecule: ribosomal RNA, 516 nt
Filed under: uncultured bacterium
Lineage: Bacteria
Description: bacterial SSU rRNA
Rfam family: Bacterial small subunit ribosomal RNA
Source: RNAcentral
GACGAACGCUGGCGGCGUGCCUAACACAUGCAAGUCAAGGAGAAUUCCCGACUUGUCGGGAUAGUAAACUGGCGAACGGGUGAGUAACACGUAGGUAAUCUGCCCUCGGGAUCGGGAUAACCUCGCGAAAGUGGGGAUAAUACCGAAUAAAGUCUCGGUAUAAUUUGUCGAGAUGAAAGAUGGGGAUCUUCGGACCUAUUACCUGAGGAUGAGCCUGCGCCUGAUUAGCUAGUUGGUAGGUAGCGGCCUACCAAGGCAACGAUCAGUAGCCGGCCUGAGAGGGUGGACGGCCACACUGGGACUGAGAACGGCCCAGACUCCUACGGGAGGCAGCAGUGGGGAAUAUUGCGCAAUGGGGGAAACCCUGACGCAGCGACGCCGCGUGAGCGAAGAAGGCCUUGGGUUGUAAAGCUCUGUUGUAAGGGACGAAAGAUCAAGGGAAUAACUGCCCUUGAAGUGACGGUACCUUACCAGCAAGCCCCGGCUAACUACGUGCCAGCAGCCGCGGUAAGCAUA